RNAcentral lists this ribosomal RNA (460 nucleotides) under uncultured bacterium. RNAcentral's name for it is "partial 16S ribosomal RNA". It matches the Rfam family "Bacterial small subunit ribosomal RNA", at positions 338 to 795 of the family's 1533-position model. The record is from RNAcentral.
CCUACGGGUGGCAGCAGUGAGGAAUAUUGGUCAAUGGGCGGAAGCCUGAACCAGCCAAGUCGCGUGAGGGAUUAAGGCCCUGCGGGUCGUAAACCUCUUUUGCCGGGGAGCAGUGGUCCGGACGUGUCCGGGCCGGGAGAGUACCCGGAGAAAAAGCAUCGGCUAACUCCGUGCCAGCAGUCGCGGUAAUACGGAGGAUGCGAGCGUUAUCCGGAUUUAUUGGGUUUAAGGGGUGCGUAGGCGGGCAUUUAAGCCGGCGGUCAAAUUUCGGGGCUCAACCCCGGCCUGCCGUCGGAACUGGGUGCCUUGAGUGGGCGAGAAGUAUGCGGAAUGCGUGGGGUAGCGGUGAAAUGCAUAGAUAUCACGCAGAACCCCGAUUGCGAAGGCAGCAUACCGGCGCCCUACUGACGCUGAGGCACGAAAGUGCGGGUAUCGAACAGGAUUAGAUACCCCUGUAGUC